This 350-nucleotide long non-coding RNA is filed under the name Eucalyptus grandis. RNAcentral describes it as "long non-coding RNA (EGRA_LNC004575)". The record is from RNAcentral. Lineage: Eukaryota; Viridiplantae; Streptophyta; Magnoliopsida; Myrtales; Myrtaceae.
GGAGGACAAUCGGAGGCAGCAGGCGCAACUCCAGGUGAGUGAGCAGCCAGCAGUGCGUCUAGAGGAGCUGGGCGCUCGUCCGUCUGCAUCAGCAAAUCAGCAGGCCUAGUCGAGAAUAAUGGGUUGUCACGCGUCCUCUCUCCAUUCUGAAGAUGCUGUGCAGGAGGGGAACUAGGUCCAAGGGCGGAGGCGUUUCCAUCAUCUCGGGGGCUCUUGGGCAAAGGUUCAGCACUUGGCACCUUGCAUUUGUGGCCGAAGACUCCGCAUCCAACACAAGCCAACGGCUUCCACUCAUAUUCAACUUCAACAAUGCAUGAUUCACCUUGCAGGACCACCUCAAUGGAGUCACA